Molecule: ribosomal RNA, 253 nt
Filed under: uncultured bacterium
Lineage: Bacteria
Description: partial 16S ribosomal RNA
Rfam family: Bacterial small subunit ribosomal RNA
Source: RNAcentral
UACGUAGGGUCCGAGCGUUGUCCGGAAUUAUUGGGCGUAAAGGGCUCGUAGGCGGUUUGGCGCGUCGGGUGUGAAAACUCAGGGCUCAACCCUGAGCGUGCUUACGAUACGGGCAAACUAGAGGUAUGCAGGGGAGAGCGGAAUUCCUGGUGUAGCGGUGGAAUGCGCAGAUAUCAGGAGGAACACCGGUGGCGAAGGCGGUUCUCUGGGCAUGAACUGACGCUGAGGAGCGAAAGCAUGGGGAGCAAACAGG